AGUGAACGCUGGCGGUAGGCCUAACACAUGCAAGUCGAACGGCAGCACAGUAAGAGCUUGCUCUUACGGGUGGCGAGUGGCGGACGGGUGAGGAAUACAUCGGAAUCUACUUUUUCGUGGGGGAUAACGUAGGGAAACUUACGCUAAUACCGCAUACGACCUACGGGUGAAAGCAGGGGAUCUUCGGACCUUGCGCGAUUGAAUGAGCCGAUGUCGGAUUAGCUAGUUGGCGGGGUAAAGGCCCACCAAGGCGACGAUCCGUAGCUGGUCUGAGAGGAUGAUCAGCCACACGGGAACUGAGACACGGUCCAGACUCCUACGGGAGGCAGCAGGGGGGAAUAUUGGACAAUGGGCGGAAGCCUGACCCAGCCAUCCCGGGUGGGUGAAGAAGGCCUUCGGGUGGUAAAGCCCUUUUGUUGGGAAAAAAAAGCAGCAGGUUAAUACCCCGCUGUUCUGACGGUACCAAAAGAAAAAGCACCGACUAACUUCGG
RNAcentral lists this ribosomal RNA (491 nucleotides) under uncultured bacterium. Its description in RNAcentral is "partial 16S ribosomal RNA". It matches the Rfam family "Bacterial small subunit ribosomal RNA", at positions 29 to 506 of the family's 1533-position model. The record is from RNAcentral.